CCUACGGGUGGCAGCAGUGAGGAAUAUUGGGCAAUGGGGGCAACCCUGACCCAGCCAUGCCGCGUGAGUGAAGAAGGUCUUCGGAUUGUAAAACUCUUUCGGACGUGACGCUGAUGACGGUAGCGUCUAAAGAAGCACCGGCAAACUUCGUGACAGCAGCCGCGGUAAUACGCAGGGGGCGAGCGUUGUUCGGAUUUACUGGGCGUAAAGGGAGUGUAGGCGGAUUUGUAAGAUAGCGGUGAAAUGCCGGGGCUCAACCCCGGAACUGCCAGUAUGACUAUGUAUUUAGAGUAAUGGAGAGGAUGGGGGAAGACCGGGUGAAGAGGGGAAAGUCG
This 335-nucleotide ribosomal RNA is filed under the name uncultured bacterium. RNAcentral describes it as "partial 16S ribosomal RNA". It matches the Rfam family "Bacterial small subunit ribosomal RNA", at positions 338 to 690 of the family's 1533-position model. The record is from RNAcentral.